CAUAUAUUGGCUGUGUCCAAGGUCAAAACCAAAACCCGAGCAACCACACCUGGUAUCAGGCAUUAGGGGUCAGUAUGUGACCAGGAGAGCCAGAGGGUGCCAGGUGAUUAAAAGUCGGUGUAUGGAGGAUGGAGUGGGAGAUGAAGGGCAAUGAAUGAAAAUGAAGCAAACAUCAUAUGUUUGAUAUGGUGAAAAGGAUGCUAAAAUUCCUCCCAUUGAGUUUGGGCAAAUCCUAUGGUUCUCUGUGAUAAGCCCUUUCUAUCCCCUUUCCCUACCAAAUCUUCCUGCUACAUUACACUCUGCUCCCUACCAGGGAGCUAAAUAGCAACCUGUGUAUUUCAUCUAGGUCGGUUACUUAACAAUCCUAAGGAAACUAUUUGAAUUUAAAUGACUGCCUUCUAGACACAACACAACAAUGAUAGCAAUAAAAAUAAUGACUUGUAAAUUAGUCAGCAUCAGCUGGGCUGCUGUAACAAACAACCCCAAAUCUCAUAAACAAACGUUAGUUUUCACCCCUCUGAAGUCCACUGUGGGCCUAGGCAGCUAUGGUCCAUGUGGUGACUCAGUGAUCCAGGCUUUUAAAAUUGUGUGCUUCUGCACUGCAAUUUGAGGACGCCUCAUUUGCUGUGUCAGGGGAGGAGAGAGAUUGGAAAACCUCAUGGGGACUGUACACUUCCUUGGCCUGAAGCGAUGCUCAUCACUUCCAUUCACAAAGCCAGUCAUAUGCCCCUUUAGCUGGAAGAGGGUAGGGAAAGCUAGUUUUCUGUGCAUCCAGGAAGGAUGAAUAUAAAACAGCAUUUAGUGAACACGUAAUUUUCUCUGUGUUGCAACGACCACUUCUUUUUAAAUAGGUACCACAAGACAAUUACUCUGCAGCGAUUUAUUUAAAUCAUCUCAAAGAUCCUUACAGGUGAGGAAACUGAGGCUUGGAGAAGUUGAAUGACUUGCCUAAAGUCACACAUAUAAUGGUAGAUCCAGAAUUAGAAGCCGUGGUUCUGUUUCACCAUAACCUGUGCCCCUCACUGUUCAGAUGAUGGAUCCUCAGACUCCGGGGGAGCUGUGGGGUAACUCCCUCCACCCUUCAGCUACAGCCUGGAAACCAUUGCCUUUUCUGCUCAUUGCAGCCAGGCCUGGAUCCAUGUGAGGAAACACACCUGCUGCCUCGGGAAUCCCAUACCAGUGAUGUGACACUCACAAAAGGCGAUCAAUGGUUCCUGACAAUUUUUUCUUUUCAUUUAGGCAAAAAAUAUGGAAAGCAUAUUUGAUCUUUGAUUUUCUUCCAUUUCCCAUCUGUUCUUUAUUAGGAGUUCAAACUUAAUAACCUUCCAGAGUUGGUAUCAAAUUCAGACGCUGACGCUCCUUGGAGAGGUUCUUUGCUGCAAGAGGAUGGAAAGGAUCACUGUGAUUUUGUUUUUCUCCUGCUGCUCUGUCUGGAAGCCAUGUGAGGAGGACAUCUGAGCAGCCCUGUGGAGAGGCCCCCAGCCAACAGCCAGCAUGAACUUGCUGGGCAUGUGAGUGCACCACCUUGAAAGUAGAGCCUCAACCCCUGGUCAAGCCAUCAGGGAGAGCUCAAGCUGGCCUGUUGGAAGAUGACAGGCCAUAUGCAACAGACGUGAAGUGUCCCAGCUGAUCCCCUUCCAGAACACCCACCUUCCAGAUGACCACAGAUGCAAGGGUGAGCCAGCCAAUAGCUGCUGAGACAUUCCCAGAAAGACAGAACAUCCAGCUGACCCAUGGACUCAUGGGCGAUCAUGGAUAAAUGGAUAUUGUUUCAAGCUA
Long non-coding RNA from Homo sapiens (human), 1779 nucleotides. Ensembl annotates it as MIAT neighbor. Its record names the gene MIATNB. Lineage: Eukaryota; Metazoa; Chordata; Mammalia; Primates; Hominidae. The record is from Ensembl.